This 869-nucleotide ribosomal RNA is filed under the name uncultured bacterium. RNAcentral describes it as "bacterial SSU rRNA". It matches the Rfam family "Bacterial small subunit ribosomal RNA", at positions 26 to 896 of the family's 1533-position model. The record is from RNAcentral.
AGAACGAACGCUGGCGGUAUGCCUAACACAUGCAAGUCGAACGCGAAAGUGAUCUUCGGAUCGCGAGUAGAGUGGCGCACGGGUGAGUAACACGUGGAUAACCUGCCCUAUGAUCUGGGAUAACACUUCGAAAGGGGUGCUAAUACCGGAUAAGCCCACACAACCUUCGGGGCGAGUGGGAAAAGAUUUAUUGUCAUAGGAUGGGUCCGCGGUCCAUUAGCUAGUUGGUGGGGUAAUGGCCUACCAAGGCGACGAUGGAUAGCUGGUCUGAGAGGAUGAUCAGCCACACUGGAACUGAGACACGGUCCAGACUCCUACGGGAGGCAGCAGUGGGGAAUUUUGCGCAAUGGACGAAAGUCUGACGCAGCAAUACCGCGUGAAGGAUGAAGGCCCUUGGGUCGUAAACUUCUGUCAGAGGGGAAGAAAUACUCGCAAGAGUGCUGACGGUACCCUCAAAGGAAGCACCGGCUAACUCCGUGCCAGCAGCCGCGGUAAUACGGAGGGUGCAAGCGUUGUUCGGAAUUAUUGGGCGUAAAGAGCAUGUAGGCGGACUUCUAAGUCUGGUGUGAAAGCCCGGGGCUCAACCCCGGAAGUGCAUUGGAUACUGGUCGUCUUGAGUAUGGGAGAGGAAAGUGGAAUUCCGAGUGUAGGAGUGAAAUCCGUAGAUAUUCGGAGGAACACCAGUGGCGAAGGCGGCUUUCUGGACCAAUACUGACGCUGAGAUGCGAAAGCGCGGGGAGCGAACAGGAUUAGAUACCCUGGUAGUCCACGCCGUAAACGAUGGGCACUAGGUGUUGCGGGUAACCACUCCUGCAGUGCCGUAGCUAACGCAUUAAGUGCCCCGCCUGGGGAGUACGGCCGCAAGGCUA